AUCAAGAGAUUCCAAUCCUACCAUUUGAAACUUGAUCUCUAGCCUCCCCAGGUUACUUUCCACCAAAUAAAUCUCUCCUACCCAUGUCAAAUUUGUGAGAGAUUGAUUGGGUGUUGAGGAGACUAUCUUUAGAAGCACAAGAGCAAGGAGGUCAUCGUUCUACCACAUGUAUUACCUUUUCCUAGAUUGGUUAGGCAUCACUUGGGUGAAUUUUGUAAGGGUAAGGAGGCCGCCUACUUCGUGAAGAUCUAUCGAAACCAUACCAAAAAUCGCCAUGUCAACCUCUUUGCGUUUGAUCUCCUAAACUCUACUCCUUACUACAUGUGCAAAGGCUUUACUUUCCGUCGCCAUAUGUUGACUAGCAUAUGUAGGGCGCACUAGAAUUGCUAAAAUUUGCCAACCAUAAAAUUGAAAAAUGCUAGUUUUUUAAAUCUUAUCAAGUAGUCUAUUCAC
Molecule: long non-coding RNA, 453 nt
Filed under: Hordeum vulgare
Lineage: Eukaryota; Viridiplantae; Streptophyta; Magnoliopsida; Poales; Poaceae
Description: long non-coding RNA (HVUL_LNC001374)
Source: RNAcentral